Molecule: ribosomal RNA, 534 nt
Filed under: uncultured bacterium
Lineage: Bacteria
Description: bacterial SSU rRNA
Rfam family: Bacterial small subunit ribosomal RNA
Source: RNAcentral
GGCCUUGACAUACUAAGAACUUUCCAGAGAUGGAUUGGUGCCUUCGGGAACUUAGAUACAGGUGCUGCAUGGCUGUCGUCAGCUCGUGUCGUGAGAUGUUGGGUUAAGUCCCGCAACGAGCGCAACCCUUUUUCCUUAUUUGCCAGCGGGUCAUGCCGGGAACUUUAAGGAUACUGCCAGUGACAAACUGGAGGAAGGCGGGGACGACGUCAAGUCAUCAUGGCCCUUACGGCCAGGGCUACACACGUGCUACAAUGGUCGGUACAAAGGGUUGCUACCUCGCGAGAGGAUGCUAAUCUCAAAAAGCCGAUCGUAGUCCGGAUCGCAGUCUGCAACUCGACUGCGUGAAGUCGGAAUCGCUAGUAAUCGCGGAUCAGAAUGCCGCGGUGAAUACGUUCCCGGGCCUUGUACACACCGCCCGUCACACCAUGGGAGUUUGUUGCACCAGAAGUAGGUAGUCUAACCGCAAGGAGGACGCUUACCACGGUGUGGCCGAUGACUGGGGUGAAGUCGUAACAAGGUAAGCGUAGAUGA